CCUACGGGUGGCUGCAGUGGGGAAUAUUGGACAAUGGGCGCAAGCCUGAUCCAGCAAUGCCGCGUGAGUGAUGAAGGCCUUAGGGUUGUAAAGCUCUUUCACCGGGGAAGAUAAUGACGGUACCCGGAGAAGAAGCCCCGGCUAACUCCGUGCCAGCAGCCGCGGUAAUACGGAGGGGGCUAGCGUUGUUCGGAAUUACUGGGCGUAAAGCGCGCGUAGGCGGCUUGACAAGUUGGAGGUGAAAGCCCGGAGCUCAACUUCGGAAUUGCCUUCAA
Molecule: ribosomal RNA, 275 nt
Filed under: uncultured bacterium
Lineage: Bacteria
Description: partial 16S ribosomal RNA
Rfam family: Bacterial small subunit ribosomal RNA
Source: RNAcentral